CCCCGCGCAGAUCGGCGCCGGCGAGGUCGGCGCCCCUCAGGCGGGCGCCCAUCAGGUCGGCGUUGCGGCGGUUCUUCUUCCGGCCGCGGGCGCC
This 94-nucleotide transfer RNA is filed under the name Streptomyces sp. V17-9. RNAcentral's name for it is "tRNA-Leu". Lineage: Bacteria; Bacillati; Actinomycetota; Actinomycetes; Kitasatosporales; Streptomycetaceae. The record is from RNAcentral.